AAGCAGAACAGUACUGUAUGGUAGGGAGAGAGUAGCUAGGCUGAGUGUUCUUGCGUGCAGGUCUGCAACUGGAGUAUUUUCUUUGUCUGAUCCUUGGCCGCUUUUUCAUCGAUCCAUGGCUGGUCGUUGCUUUCAGUCAUAGUCAUCUUGGCAAAAAAAAAAAUGGACAUCAUUGCUCAGAUAGACAGCGCGUUUGUCUGUUUGCUCUGGAGAAGGGAGGCAUGCCGCCGCAACAACAAGGUGGAAGAGCAAGGACC
This 257-nucleotide long non-coding RNA is filed under the name Brachypodium distachyon (stiff brome). Its description in RNAcentral is "long non-coding RNA (BDIS_LNC005924)". The record is from RNAcentral. Lineage: Eukaryota; Viridiplantae; Streptophyta; Magnoliopsida; Poales; Poaceae.